RNAcentral lists this ribosomal RNA (1315 nucleotides) under uncultured Alphaproteobacteria bacterium. Its description in RNAcentral is "uncultured alpha proteobacterium 16S ribosomal RNA". It matches the Rfam family "Bacterial small subunit ribosomal RNA", at positions 33 to 1395 of the family's 1533-position model. Lineage: Bacteria; Pseudomonadati; Pseudomonadota; Alphaproteobacteria. The record is from RNAcentral.
ACGCUGGCGGCACGCCUAACACAUGCAAGUCGAACGAAGUAGCAAUACUUAGUGGCAGACGGGUGAGUAACAUGUAGGUAUCUGCCCUUUGGCCUGGAAUAACACGAGGAAACUUGUGCUAAUACCGGAUAAGUCUUUACGGAGAAAGCUUUAUGCACCAUUGGAUGAGCCUGCACUUGAUUAGUUUGUUGGUGGGGUAAUGGCCUACCAAGACUGUGAUCAAUAGCUGAUUUGAGAGGAUGAUCAGCCACAUUGGGACUGAGACACGGCCCAAACUCCUACGGGAGGCAGCAGUGGGGAAUCUUGCACAAUGGAGGAAACUCUGAUGCAGCGAUGCCGCGUGAGUGAAGAAGGCCUUUGGGUUGUAAAGCUCUUUCGUCGGGGAAGAAAAUGACUGUACCCGAAUAAGAAGGUCCGGCUAACUUCGUGCCAGCAGCCGUGGUAAUACGAAGGGACCUAGCGUAGUUCGGAAUUACUGGGCUUAAAGAGUUCGUAGGUGGUUGAAAAAGUUGGUGGUGAAAUCCCAGAGCUUAACUCUGGAACUGCCAUCAAAACUUUUCAGCUAGAGUUUGAUAGAGGAAAGCAGAAUUUCUAGUGUAGAGGUGAAAUUCGUAGAUAUUAGAAAGAAUACCAAUUGCGAAGGCAGCUUUCUGGAUCAUUACUGACGCUGAGGAACGAAAGCAUGGGUAGCGAAGAGGAUUAGAUACCCUCGUAGUCCAUGCCGUAAACGAUGUGUGUUAGACGUUGGAAAUUUAUUUUCAGUGUCGCAGCGAAAGCAAUAAACACACCGCCUGGGGAGUACGACCGCAAGGUUAAAACUCAAAUGAAUUGACGGGGACCCGCACAAGUAGUGGAGCAUGUGGUUUAAUUCGAAGAUACGCGCAGAACCUUACCAACACUUGACAUGUUCGUCGCGACUUUAAGAGAUUAAAGUUUUCGGUUCGGCCGGACGAAACACAGGUGCUGCAUGGCUGUCGUCAGCUCGUGUCGUGAGAUGUUGGGUUAAGUCCCGCAACGAGCGCAACCCUCACUUUUAGUUGCCAUCAUUAAGUUGGGCACUCUGAAAGAACUGCCAGUGAUAAGCUGGAGGAAGGUGGGGAUGACGUCAAGUCCUCAUGGCCCUUACGUGUUGGGCUACACACGUGCUACAAUGGUAUCUACAACAGGAAGCAAAACGGCGACGUUAAGCAAAUCCCUAAAAGAUACCUCAGUUCGGAUUGCACUCUGCAACUCGAGUGCAUGAAGCUGGAAUUACUAGUAAUCGUGGAUCAGCGUGCCACGGUGAAUGCGUUCCCGGGUCUUGUACACACCGCCC